Molecule: ribosomal RNA, 506 nt
Filed under: uncultured bacterium
Lineage: Bacteria
Description: partial 16S ribosomal RNA
Rfam family: Bacterial small subunit ribosomal RNA
Source: RNAcentral
AGUGAACGCUGGCGGUAGGCCUAACACAUGCAGGUCGAACGGCAGCACAGGAGAGCUUGCUCUCUGGGUGGCGAGUGGCGGACGGGUGAGGAAUACAUCGGAAUCUACUCUGUCGUGGGGGAUAACGUAGGGAAACUUACGCUAAUACCGCAUACGACCUACGGGUGAAAGCAGGGGACCUUCGGGCCUUGCGCGAUUGAAUGAGCCGAUGUCGGAUUAGCUAGUUGGGGGGGUAAAGGCCCACCGAGGCGACGAUCCGUAGCUGGUCUGGGAGGGUGAUCAGCCACACUGGAACUGAGAACCGGUCCAGACUCCUACGGGAGGCAGCAGUGGGGAAUAUUGGACAAUGGGCGCAAGCCUGAUCCAGCCAUACCGCGUGGGUGAAGAAGGCCUUCGGGUUGUAAAGCCCUUUUGUUGGGAAAGAAAUCCAGCUGGCUAAUACCCGGUUGGGAUGACGGUACCCAAAGAAUAAGCACCGGCUAACUUCGUGCCAGCAGCCGCCGUAA